RNAcentral lists this ribosomal RNA (207 nucleotides) under uncultured bacterium. Its description in RNAcentral is "partial 16S ribosomal RNA". It matches the Rfam family "Bacterial small subunit ribosomal RNA", at positions 568 to 774 of the family's 1533-position model. The record is from RNAcentral.
UGCGUAGACGGUUGCAUAAGUCAGAUGUGAAAGCCCCGGGCUCAACCUGGGAAUUGCAUUUGAGACUGUGUAGCUAGGGUGCGGAAGAGGGAAGCGGAAUUUCCGGUGUAGCGGUGAAAUGCGUAGAUAUCGGAAGGAACACCAGUGGCGAAAGCGGCUUCCUGGUCCAGCACCGACGUUCAGGCACGAAAGCGUGGGGAGCAAACA